This 441-nucleotide ribosomal RNA is filed under the name uncultured bacterium. RNAcentral's name for it is "partial 16S ribosomal RNA". It matches the Rfam family "Bacterial small subunit ribosomal RNA", at positions 338 to 795 of the family's 1533-position model. The record is from RNAcentral.
CCUACGGGGUGCAGCAGUGGGGAAUAUUGCACAAUGGGGGGAACCCUGAUGCAGCGACGCCGCGUGGGUGAAGGAGUAUUUCGGUAUGUAAAGCCCUAUUAGCAGGGAAGAACAAUGACGGUACCUGACUAAGAAGCACCGGCUAAAAACGUGCAAGCAGCCGCGGUAAUACGUAUGGUGCAAGCGUUAGCCGGAUUUAGUGGGGGUAAAGGGAGCGCAGGCGGCGCGUUAAGCCUGGUGUGAAAUCCCACGGCCCAACCGCGGGACUGCAUUGGAAAAUGGCGUGCGGGUGGGCUGGAGGGGUAGACGGAAUGCCGAGUGUAGCGGUGAAAUGCGUAGAUAUUAGGAGGAACACCAGUGGCGAAGGCGGCCUACUGGACGGUGACUGACGCUGAGGCUCGAAAGCGUGGGGAGCAAACAGGAUUAGAUACCCGGGUAGUC